UAAAGUAAAUGUAAUAAAAGCUUGCGAAAUAAGUAUAGUUCUUUCCAUGCGAGUAAAAAUAAGAUAAAACACGAAUUUAGUGAACGGAGAGGAUUGAAUGCCAGCAGCGUAAAGCUGUAAUUUAAGGAAAAACCAUUCAGUCACUGGAUGAAGGAAACAGAGGUGGCAAAAAAUCGGUAGAUAACGUUGUGCAAAUUGGAGCAAGGCGAAGAGAGGGAAGAGAUUUUAAGUCAAAAAAGCUUGAAAAUAGAGGUUUUAAUUAUAAAAUCCCAAACUGGGAUGCGUUUACUAAAUGUGCUUAAAACAUGUAGGAAAGACCCUAUCAGAAACGGCCAAUUGGAACAACGUAAGUUGUCAAACGAUUCACCGUAGCUUAAAAAA
Cinara cedri is the source of this 381-nucleotide non-coding RNA. The record is from the annotation of a GenBank genome assembly. Lineage: Eukaryota; Metazoa; Arthropoda; Insecta; Hemiptera; Aphididae.